RNAcentral lists this unclassified non-coding RNA (329 nucleotides) under soil metagenome. RNAcentral's name for it is "partial contains 5.8S ribosomal RNA, internal transcribed spacer 2, and large subunit ribosomal RNA". The stretch from base 1 to 120 matches the Rfam family "5.8S ribosomal RNA", at positions 35 to 154 of the family's 154-position model. The record is from RNAcentral.
GAUGAAGAACGCAGCGAAAUGCGAUAAGUAAUGUGAAUUGCAGAAUUCAGUGAAUCAUCGAAUCUUUGAACGCACAUUGCGCCCCUUGGUAUUCCGAGGGGCAUGCCUGUUCGAGCGUCAUUAUAACCCCUCAAGCUCAGCUUGGUGUUGGGGCCUGCUGCACUGGCAGCCCUUAAAAUCAGUGGCGGCGCCAUCUGGCUCUAAGCGUAGUAAUUCUUCUCGCUAUGGAGUCCUGGUGGAUGCUUGCCAUCAACCCCCAAUUUUUCUAUGGUUGACCUCGGAUCAGGUAGGGAUACCCGCUGAACUUAAGCAUAUCAAUAAGCGAAGGA